Molecule: non-coding RNA, 77 nt
Organism: Podarcis lilfordi (Lilford's wall lizard)
Lineage: Eukaryota; Metazoa; Chordata; Lepidosauria; Squamata; Lacertidae
Source: the annotation of a GenBank genome assembly
AGCCUGUCAGUCAGCUCAGUUGGAGAGAAUGUAGUGCUGAUAAUGCUAAGGUUGUGGGUUCGAGUCCAUCCAGGCCA